Molecule: ribosomal RNA, 812 nt
Filed under: uncultured bacterium
Lineage: Bacteria
Description: bacterial SSU rRNA
Rfam family: Bacterial small subunit ribosomal RNA
Source: RNAcentral
AAGUCGAACGAACUUAACCAUUAGUUUACUAUUGGAGCGGUUAGUGGCGGACUGGUGAGUAACACGUAAGCAACCUGCCUAUCAGAGGGGAACAACAGUUAGAAAUGACUGCUAAUACCGCAUAUGCCUUGAGUAUCACAUGGUACAAAAGGGAAAGGAGCAAUCCGCUGAUAGAUGGGCUUGCGUCUGAUUAGAUAGUUGGUGAGGUAACGGCCCACCAAGUCGACGAUCAGUAGCCGGACUGAGAGGUUGAACGGCCACAUUGGGACUGAGAUACGGCCCAGACUCCUACGGGAGGCAGCAGUCGGGAAUAUUGCGCAAUGGAGGAAACUCUGACGCAGUGACGCCGCGUGCAGGAAGAAGGUUUUCGGAUUGUAAACUGCUUUAGACAGGGAAGAAACAAGACAGUACCUGUAGAAUAAGCUCCGGCUAACUACGUGCCAGCAGCCGCGGUAAUACGUAGGGAGCAAGCGUUAUCCGGAUUUAUUGGGUGUAAAGGGUGCGUAGACGGGAAAUUAAGUUAGUUGUGAAAUCCCUCGGCUUAACUGAGGAACUGCAACUAAAACUGAUUUUCUUGAGUGCUGGAGAGGAAAGUGGAAUUCCUAGUGUAGCGGUGAAAUGCGUAGAUAUUAGGAGGAACACCAGUGGCGAAGGCGACUUUCUGGACAGUAACUGACGUUGAGGCACGAAAGUGUGGGGAGCAAACAGGAUUAGAUACCCUGGUAGUCCACACCGUAAACGAUGGAUACUAGGUGUAGGGUGUGAUAAACAUUCUGUGCCGUCGCAAACGCAGUAAGUAUCCCACCUGGGGA